This is a long non-coding RNA of Pipistrellus kuhlii (Kuhl's pipistrelle), 272 nucleotides long. RefSeq lists it as uncharacterized. Lineage: Eukaryota; Metazoa; Chordata; Mammalia; Chiroptera; Vespertilionidae. The transcript is spliced from 3 exons. The record is from RefSeq and is a predicted model, not a curated record.
ACUGGAGUCCAGACCUGUGCUUUCCUUCUGCAGAGUUAAGCAACAUGCAGGGGCUGGUGGAGGACUUGAAGAAUUAGUCCGAGGAUGAGAUCAGCAAGCGCACAGAGAUGGAGAAUGAAUUUGUCCUCAUCAAGAAGGAUGUGGAUGGCCCUGGUCGGUAUGCUCAGUGGUUAGAGUGUCCGCCCAUGGACCAAAGGGUCUUGGGUUCGAUUCCCAGUCAAGGGCAUGUACCUCAGUUACAGCUUCCCCAGUCCCUGUGGGAGCAUGUGCAG